RNAcentral lists this ribosomal RNA (757 nucleotides) under Bacillus cereus. RNAcentral describes it as "bacterial SSU rRNA". It matches the Rfam family "Bacterial small subunit ribosomal RNA", at positions 49 to 788 of the family's 1533-position model. The record is from RNAcentral. Lineage: Bacteria; Bacillati; Bacillota; Bacilli; Caryophanales; Bacillaceae.
CUAUACUGCAGUCGAGCGAAUGGAUUAAGAGCUUGCUCUUAUGAAGUUAGCGGCGGACGGGUGAGUAACACGUGGGUAACCUGCCCAUAAGACUGGGAUAACUCCGGGAAACCGGGGCUAAUACCGGAUAACAUUUUGAACCGCAUGGUUCGAAAUUGAAAGGCGGCUUCGGCUGUCACUUAUGGAUGGACCCGCGUCGCAUUAGCUAGUUGGUGAGGUAACGGCUCACCAAGGCAACGAUGCGUAGCCGACCUGAGAGGGUGAUCGGCCACACUGGGACUGAGACACGGCCCAGACUCCUACGGGAGGCAGCAGUAGGGAAUCUUCCGCAAUGGACGAAAGUCUGACGGAGCAACGCCGCGUGAGUGAUGAAGGCUUUCGGGUCGUAAAACUCUGUUGUUAGGGAAGAACAAGUGCUAGUUGAAUAAGCUGGCACCUUGACGGUACCUAACCAGAAAGCCACGGCUAACUACGUGCCAGCAGCCGCGGUAAUACGUAGGUGGCAAGCGUUAUCCGGAAUUAUUGGGCGUAAAGCGCGCGCAGGUGGUUUCUUAAGUCUGAUGUGAAAGCCCACGGCUCAACCGUGGAGGGUCAUUGGAAACUGGGAGACUUGAGUGCAGAAGAGGAAAGUGGAAUUCCAUGUGUAGCGGUGAAAUGCGUAGAGAUAUGGAGGAACACCAGUGGCGAAGGCGACUUUCUGGUCUGUAACUGACACUGAGGCGCGAAAGCGUGGGGAGCAAACAGGAUUAGAUACUUU